Molecule: long non-coding RNA, 943 nt
Organism: Xenopus tropicalis (tropical clawed frog)
Lineage: Eukaryota; Metazoa; Chordata; Amphibia; Anura; Pipidae
Exons: 3
Source: RefSeq, a predicted model, not a curated record
UGCAGGUAAGUGGCUAGAGAAUGGGAGGGGCAGAGGUGCAGGUAAGUGACUAGAGAAUGGGAGGGGCAGAGGUGCAGGUAAGUGGCUAGAGAAUGGGAGGGGCACAGGUGCAGGUAAGUGACUAGAGAAUGGGAGGGGCAGAGGUGCAGGUAGGUGACUAGAGAAUGGGAGGGGCAGAGGUGCAGGUAAGUGACUAGAGAAUGGGAGGGGCAGAGGUGCAGGUAGGUGACUAGAGAAUGGGAGGGGCACAGGUGCAGGUAAGUGACUAGAGAAUGGGAGGGGCAGAGGUGCAGGUAGGUGACUAGAGAAUGGGAGGGGCAGGUAAGUGACUAGAGAAUGGGAGGGACAGAGGUGCAGGUAGGUGACUAGAGAAUGGGAGGGGCAGAGGUGCAGGUAGGUGACUAGAGAAUGGGAGGGGCACAGGUGCAGGUAAGUGACUAGAGAAUGGGAGGGGCAGAGGUGCAGGUAGGUGACUAGAGAAUGGGAGGGGCACAGGUGCAGGUAAGUGACUAGAGAAUGGGAGGGGCAGAGGUGCAGGUAGGUGACUAGAGAAUGGGAGGGGCAGGUAAGUGACUAGAGAAUGGGAGGGACAGAGGUGCAGGUAGGUGACUAGAGAAUGGGAGGGGCAGAGGUGCAGGUAAGUGACUAGAGAAUGGGAGGGGCAGGUAAGUGACUAGAGAAUGGGAGGGGCAGGUAAGUGACUAGAGAAUGGGAGGGGCAGGUAAGUAACUACAGAAUGGGAGGGACAGAGGUGCAGGUAGGUGACUAGAGAAUGGGAGGGGCAGAGGUGCAGGUAAGUGACUAGAGAAUGGGAGGGGCAGGUAAGUGACUAGAGAAUGGGAGGGACAGAGGUGCAGGUAGGUGACUAGAGAAUGGGAGGGGCAGAGGUGCAGGUAAGUGACUAGAGAAUGGGAGGGGCAGGUAAGUGACUAGAGAAUGGGAG